This is an RNA transcript of Pungitius pungitius (ninespine stickleback), 2327 nucleotides long. RefSeq lists it as uncharacterized. The record is from RefSeq and is a predicted model, not a curated record. NCBI's taxonomy places the organism in Eukaryota, Metazoa, Chordata, Actinopteri, Perciformes, Gasterosteidae. The transcript is spliced from 11 exons.
CAAAAGUUGUUCCAGAGUAGGCUUAACUAACUAUGUCCGUGGUUAGGUUCGGGUCCGUUCUGCAGUGAGCAUGGAGAGGUCCGGACGCGUGUGUCCACGGUGUCUUCGUGGACGUCCCGCUGGAGGCGGAGACACCGGGGACCUGCUCCAGUGGCUUCGCCUUCACUUUCGCUCCCAGCUCCCUCCGUCAGUUUCUACUUCACGCGAGCGAACCGCGCCUUAAACACCUACGGGUUUUUUUCUUGUUGUUUACCUUAUUAUUAUUUUUAACUUUUAAAUGGACGUCAUGUCAACUCCCGGUCCAAACAGAAGCGGAUAAAGCGACAGCUGAACCGAGGACGAUGCGGCCGACUGAGACGCCCCCGGGAGCGGCCGGUUUCAUGUGCGCUUUGCUGGCCGCGGUGUGCGCGGGCUCCGAGAUCACAGUCUACAGGAAGCCGGGCGAUGAAGUCGUUCUCAACCCGGGUGUCUUCUCCGUGCCCUCCAGCAUCCAGUGGAAACGGGGUGACCACCUGGUCGCCCUGUGGGACGGAGAAGACACCGAAAUUUUUCGUCAGUUCCGAGCUCGCGGUAGCCUGAACACUUCGAGUGGAGAGAUGACGAUCACGGGACUGACUCGAAACGAAAGCGGCGUAUACAAAUCGGAAAUAAGCGGGUUGAUCGGUUCGACAAUUCACCUCAUCGUCAUCCCCCCCGUCCCCAAGCCCACGGUCAGCCAACGGUGCGACAGCGAGAGGACCUCCUGCACGCUGCGCUGUGACGGAGACGCCGCGGACGCCGCACCCGUCAACUACACGUGGACUCCGGGGGACGCGGCUGCAUCCAAGGAGCUACGCCUCACCAAGGAGGGCAGCUCGGGUGUGCGGGAGUUCCGCUGCGAGCUGCGGAACCCGGUGAGCCGGGAGAGCAGCGACCCCGCGCCCAACCCGUUCUCCACAGCACCCGGAGGAGGAGGAGGACCGAACUUCUGGACGGGGGCCGUGGUGUUCGGCGUCCUGCUGGUCCCCGUGCUGCUGCUGCUCGCCGCUCACAGAUGCGUGACGGGAACGUGGUUCUUCCAAAAAAGUAAGGCAUCGCUCAAAGCAAGAGAUUGAGCCCAAAUACCCCCCUUUUUCACAGAGUUUACAAACAAGGCAUUGUGGGAAAUGUAGGAUGUUGGCGCACAUCCAUGCCGUGGGAGCCAAAUUUCUGGAGGAAGCACGAGAGGCCGCCUGGGUCUGCAUCCAACGGCACGGCUGUGCAAGAGAACGGGCACUCAGACGAGGAGACCCCGUUGUCAUAGGCAACAGAGGGACGCCAGGUCACAUGUGAGGCGGAAAGCACGACCACCUGCAGAUAAAUCCCUCCAAGAAUGGAACCCUCGAGGAAAAAUGAGCUGUCAUCUGAAAGAAAUAGAAUUUGUGCUGCUUGCUUUUAAAAAAAACGAAUAUGUGGUUGAUGCCGUUGCUAUGUGCUGCCAGGAGGGGGGGCGGAGGGGGGGUGGGAGGCUACCUUAUGUAAGAAGGGAAAUUUUAAAGCAGAGUGCACUGUUGUGUUACCUGGUUUUAAAUUCUAGACAAUAGCAUGAAGCUCUGGGAAUUUGACCUGUUCCGACCCCCCCCCCCUCCCACCACACCCUCAAGCUCAUUCAAAUGGGGAGAUGGGGGGGGGGGGGUCUACCUUAUAGAAGAAGGGAAAUAUUAAAGCAAAGUGCACUGUUCUGUUACCUGGUUUUAAAUUCUAGACAAUAGCAGGAAGCCCUGGGAAUUUGACCUGUCCCGACCCCCCCCCCCCCCCUCCCACCACACCCUCCCAGUACCUCCAGCUCAGGCGGAGGUCAGAAGAAGUCACUCGGCUGCUCUUCCUCUGCGAUUCGCGUUUUGUCAUCGCGUGUUUAAUAACUUCCUGUUUUCCAUUAACUGGUGAUUUUGUGUUCUGAAGGACUGAGGUGUUUUUGCACUACAGGUGUCCUUAGUUUAGUUUGUUGAUGUUGUUAAAUACUUACCGUAGUACAACUUAUCUGAAAGAUUUUAAAGAUGAAAUCCACUGACAUCUGUUUCAUUGCAUAAAAGGCGCCGUUAUUCAUUAGCUAGUAUUGUGGCAUCAAACAUUUUGGGAUUUUAAAUGGUAACAUUUGUUUUAACAUGAUGCUAAAAGAGAGAUAAUGGUCUGUACUGAAGUAACGUGUGAAAAGCAGAAUGAUUCAAUGUUCUAUUUGUAACCGUGUUUCCCCAUCUUACCCUUGGUUCAUUAAUCAGCAGUUUUAUCCCAUGCUGUCACUAGAAAUGACCUUCAUGAAUGACAUGUUUUUUCAUGGAAAUACAUUCAAUAAAAGCACUGAAUAUUUA